AACUCGCGCCGGCUGCGCUGACGGUGAGAAAUGUGGAGAGAGAGAUAAGUAGUAUGCUGUCUGUUUUGUUUAUUUUAUUUAGAAAUAAAUUUAGCUGAGAAUGUGAAUCAUUUAGGAUUCAAAGUCGAGACCUCGGAUACCAACCAUCAAUCUUUUUACCACUUGUGCUAGGGACGGUCAGUUACUACUAGUAUAUAUAUUCACUGAUAGAGAA
RNAcentral lists this long non-coding RNA (214 nucleotides) under Ananas comosus (pineapple). Its description in RNAcentral is "long non-coding RNA (ACOM_LNC025397)". The record is from RNAcentral. Lineage: Eukaryota; Viridiplantae; Streptophyta; Magnoliopsida; Poales; Bromeliaceae.